UGAACGCUAGCUACAGGCUUAACACAUGCAAGUCGAGGGGCAGCAUGUUGGUUGCUUGCAACCAAUGAUGGCGACCGGCGCACGGGUGAGUAACGCGUAUCCAACCUUCCCCUUAGUAGAGGAUAGCCCGGCGAAAGUCGGAUUAAUACUCUAUGUUCUUCAAUGCGGACAUCUAAGUUGAAGCAAAGAUUUAUCGCUAAGGGAUGGGGAUGCGUCUGAUUAGGUUGCAGGCGGGGUAACGGCCCACCUGGCCUACGAUCAGUAGGGGUUCUGAGAGGAAGGUCCCCCACACUGGUACUGAGACACGGACCAGACUCCUACGGGAGGCAGCAGUGAGGAAUAUUGGUCAAUGGGCGCGAGCCUGAACCAGCCAAGUAGCGUGCAAGGACGACUGCCCUAUGGGUUGUAAACUGCUUUUAUCAGGGAAUAAAGUGAGGCACGCGUGCCUUUUUGUAUGUACCUGAUGAAUAAGGACCGGCUAAUUCCGUGCCAGCCGCAGC
Molecule: ribosomal RNA, 500 nt
Filed under: uncultured bacterium
Lineage: Bacteria
Description: bacterial SSU rRNA
Rfam family: Bacterial small subunit ribosomal RNA
Source: RNAcentral